UACGUAGGGUGCGAGCGUUGUCCGGAAUUAUUGGGCGUAAAGAGCUCGUAGGCGGUGUGUCGCGUCGGCCGUGAAAACCUGGGGCUCAACUCUGGGCGUGCGGUCGAUACGGGCAUCACUUGAGUUCGGCAGGGGAGACUGGAACUCCUGGUGUAGCGGUGAAAUGCGCAGAUAUCAGGAGGAACACCGGUGGCGAAGGCGGGUCUCUGGGCCGAAACUGACGCUGAGGAGCGAAAGCGUGGGGAGCAAACAGG
This 254-nucleotide ribosomal RNA is filed under the name uncultured bacterium. RNAcentral describes it as "partial 16S ribosomal RNA". It matches the Rfam family "Bacterial small subunit ribosomal RNA", at positions 524 to 776 of the family's 1533-position model. The record is from RNAcentral.